RNAcentral lists this ribosomal RNA (1506 nucleotides) under metagenome. RNAcentral describes it as "bacterial SSU rRNA". It matches the Rfam family "Bacterial small subunit ribosomal RNA". The record is from RNAcentral.
AGAGUUUGAUCCUGGCUCAGGACGAACGCUGGCGGCGUGCCUAAUACAUGCAAGUAGAACGCUGAAGAGAGGAGCUUGCUCUUCUUGGAUGAGUUGCGAACGGGUGAGUAACGCGUAGGUAACCUGCCUUGUAGCGGGGGAUAACUAUUGGAAACGAUAGCUAAUACCGCAUAACAAUGGAUGACACAUGUCAUUUAUUUGAAAGGGGCAAUUGCUCCACUACAAGAUGGACCUGCGUUGUAUUAGCUAGUAGGUGAGGUAAUGGCUCACCUAGGCGACGAUACAUAGCCGACCUGAGAGGGUGAUCGGCCACACUGGGACUGAGACACGACCCAGACUCCUACGGGAGGCAGCAGUAGGGAAUCUUCGGCAAUGGGGGCAACCCUGACCGAGCAACGCCGCGUGAGUGAAGAAGGUUUUCGGAUCGUAAAGCUCUGUUGUAAGUCAAGAACGGGUGUGAGAGUGGAAAGUUCACACUGUGACGGUAGCUUACCAGAAAGGGAUGGCUAACUACGUGCCAGCAGCCGCGGUAAUACGUAGGUCCCGAGCGUUGUCCGGAUUUAUUGGGCGUAAAGCGAGCGCAGGCGGUUUGAUAAGUCUGAAGUUAAAGGCUGUGGCUCAACCAUAGUUCGCUUUGGAAACUGUCAAACUUGAGUGCAGAAGGGGAGAGUGGAAUUCCAUGUGUAGCGGUGAAAUGCGUAGAUAUAUGGAGGAACACCGGUGGCGAAAGCGGCUCUCUGGUCUGUAACUGACGCUGAGGCUCGAAAGCGUGGGGAGCGAACAGGAUUAGAUACCCUGGUAGUCCACGCCGUAAACGAUGAGUGCUAGGUGUUGGAUCCUUUCCGGGAUUCAGUGCCGCAGCUAACGCAUUAAGCACUCCGCCUGGGGAGUACGACCGCAAGGUUGAAACUCAAAGGAAUUGACGGGGGCCCGCACAAGCGGUGGAGCAUGUGUUUUAAUUCGAAGCAACGCGAAGAACCUUACCAGGUCUUGACAUCCCGAUGCUAUUUCUAGAGAUAGAAAGUUACUUCGGUACAUCGGUGACAGGUGGUGCAUGGUUGUCGUCAGCUCGUGUCGUGAGAUGUUGGGUUAAGUCCCGCAACGAGCGCAACCCCUAUUGUUAGUUGCCAUCAUUCAGUUGGGCACUCUAGCGAGACUGCCGGUAAUAAACCGGAGGAAGGUGGGGAUGACGUCAAAUCAUCAUGCCCCUUAUGACCUGGGCUACACACGUGCUACAAUGGUUGGUACAACGAGUUGCGAGUCGGUGACGGCGAGCUAAUCUCUUAAAGCCAAUCUCAGUUCGGAUUGUAGGCUGCAACUCGCCUACAUGAAGUCGGAAUCGCUAGUAAUCGCGGAUCAGCACGCCGCGGUGAAUACGUUCCCGGGCCUUGUACACACCGCCCGUCACACCACGAGAGUUUGUAACACCCGAAGUCGGUGAGAUAACCUUUUGGAGCCAGCCGCCUAAGGUGGGACAGAUGAUUGGGGUGAAGUCGUAACAAGGUA